AUUGAACGCUGGCGGCAUGCCUUACACAUGCAAGUCGAACGGCAGCAUGAUCUAGCUUGCUAGAUUGAUGGCGAGUGGCGAACGGGUGAGUAAUACAUCGGAACGUGCCCUGUAGUGGGGGAUAACUAGUCGAAAGAUUAGCUAAUACCGCAUACGACCUGAGGGUGAAAGUGGGGGACCGCAAGGCCUCAUGCUAUAGGAGCGGCCGAUGUCUGAUUAGCUAGUUGGUGGGGUAAAGGCUCACCAAGGCGACGAUCAGUAGCUGGUCUGAGAGGACGAUCAGCCACACUGGGACUGAGCCACGGCCCAGACUCCUACGGGAGGCAGCAGUGGGGAAUGUUGGACAAUGGGCGAAAGCCUGAUCCAGCAAUGCCGCGUGUGUGAAGAAGGCCUUCGGGUUGUAAAGCACUUUUGUCCGGAAAGAAAUGGCUCUGGUUAAUACCUGGGGUCGAUGACGGUACCGGAAGAAUAAGGACCGGCUAACUACGUG
This 490-nucleotide ribosomal RNA is filed under the name uncultured bacterium. RNAcentral describes it as "partial 16S ribosomal RNA". It matches the Rfam family "Bacterial small subunit ribosomal RNA", at positions 30 to 507 of the family's 1533-position model. The record is from RNAcentral.